Molecule: ribosomal RNA, 468 nt
Filed under: uncultured bacterium
Lineage: Bacteria
Description: partial 16S ribosomal RNA
Rfam family: Bacterial small subunit ribosomal RNA
Source: RNAcentral
GACGAACGCUGGCGGCGUGCUUAACACAUGCAAGUCGAACGGAAAGGCCCUGCUUUUGUGGGGUGCUCGAGUGGCGAACGGGUGAGUAACACGUGAGUAACCUGCCCUUGACUUUGGGAUAACUUCAGGAAAUUGGGGCUAAUACCGGAUAGGAGCUCCUGCUGCAUGGUGGGGGUUGGAAAGUUUCGGCGGUUGGGGAUGGACUCGCGGCUUAUCAGCUUGUUGGUGGGGUAGUGGCUUACCAAGGCUUUGACGGGUAGCCGGCCUGAGAGGGUGACCGGCCAGUGGGGGCUGGGAAUGAGGCCGGGACUCCAGCGGGAGGAAGAAGGGGGGAGUAUGGCACAAGGGGCGGAAGCCUGACGAAGCAAUGCCGCGGGCGGGAUGAGGGCCUUCGGGUUGUAAACCGCUUUCGCCUGUGACGAAGCGUGAGUGAGGGGAAUGGGUAAAGAGGCACCGGCUAACUACGUG